GUGCUCGCUUUGGCAGCACACAUACUAAAAUUGGAAUGAUACAGAGAUUAGCAUGGCCCCUGCGCAAGGAUGACACGCAAAUUCGUGAAGCAUUCCAUAUUUUG
Molecule: small nuclear RNA, 104 nt
Filed under: Cervus hanglu yarkandensis (Yarkand deer)
Lineage: Eukaryota; Metazoa; Chordata; Mammalia; Artiodactyla; Cervidae
Source: RNAcentral